UGGGGAAUAUUGCACAAUGGGGGAAACCCUGAUGCAGCGACGCCGCGUGGAGGAAGAAGGUCUUCGGAUUGUAAACUCCUGUUGUUGGGGAAGAUAAUGACGGUACCCAACAAGGAAGUGACGGCUAACUACGUGCCAGCAGCCGCGGUAAAACGUAGGUCACAAGCGUUGUCCGGAAUUACUGGGUGUAAAGGGAGCGCAGGCGGGAAGACAAGUUGGAAGUGAAAUCUAUGGGCUCAACCCAUAAACUGCUUUCAAAACUGUUUUUCUUGAGUAGUGCAGAGGUAGGCGGAAUUCCCGGUGUAGCGGUGGAAUGCGUAGAUAUCGGGAGGAACACCAGUGGCGAAGGCGGCCUACUGGGCACCAACUGACGCUGAGGCUCGAAAGUGUGGGUAGCAAACAGGAUUAGAUACCCUGGUAGU
RNAcentral lists this ribosomal RNA (422 nucleotides) under uncultured Faecalibacterium sp. RNAcentral describes it as "bacterial SSU rRNA". It matches the Rfam family "Bacterial small subunit ribosomal RNA", at positions 355 to 794 of the family's 1533-position model. Lineage: Bacteria; Bacillati; Bacillota; Clostridia; Eubacteriales; Oscillospiraceae. The record is from RNAcentral.